This 464-nucleotide ribosomal RNA is filed under the name uncultured bacterium. RNAcentral's name for it is "bacterial SSU rRNA". It matches the Rfam family "Bacterial small subunit ribosomal RNA", at positions 330 to 792 of the family's 1533-position model. The record is from RNAcentral.
GCCAGACUCCUACGGGAGGCAGCAGUGAGGAAUAUUGGUCAAUGGGCUUACGCCUGAACCAGCCAAGUCGCGUGAGGGAAGACUGCCCUAUGGGUUGUAAACCUCUUUUGUCAGGGAACAAAGGCGGGGACGUGUCCCCGGAUGAGUGUACCUGAAGAAAAAGCAUCGGCUAACUCCGUGCCAGCAGCCGCGGUAAUACGGAGGAUGCGAGCGUUAUCCGGAUUUAUUGGGUUUAAAGGGUGCGUAGGCGGAAUGCCAAGUCAGCGGUAAAAUCGCGGGGCUCAACCUCCCUCCGCCGUUGAAACUGGCGUUCUUGAGUGGGCGAGAAGUAUGCGGAAUGCGUGGUGUAGCGGUGAAAUGCAUAGAUAUCACGCAGAACUCCGAUUGCGAAGGCAGCAUACCGGCGCCCAACUGACGCUGAAGCACGAAAGCGUGGGUAUCGAACAGGAUUAGAUACCCGAGUA